AUUUUGAAAAAGAACUACUGCAAUUUCAAACCAUGUUUCAACCUUUUCUCUAAUUUUAGCAGGAGAUUAUACAAUAACCAAUCAAAGCUAAAACAAAACUAACUAAGACUAAAGUAUUAACUCGAAUUCCCAGUAUAGAGUUCUACACAAUCCAUGAUCCAUUCUAACCAUAUAACAUUGUUCCUAAACACAAACUUCAAAAUCAAAAUUAAUAACAGAAGCUAACUAGACCAACUGAAGCUAAUUUCUUAAUGAUAGACCAACCAUUCACAUAUUAGGCACAAUCAGAUUUAA
Molecule: long non-coding RNA, 294 nt
Filed under: Nicotiana benthamiana
Lineage: Eukaryota; Viridiplantae; Streptophyta; Magnoliopsida; Solanales; Solanaceae
Description: long non-coding RNA (NBEN_LNC002142)
Source: RNAcentral